CCUACGGGUGGCAGCAGUGGGGGAUAUUGCACAAUGGGGGAAACCCUGAUGCAGCGACGCCGCGUGUGGGAAGACGGUCCUCUGGAUUGUAAACCACUGUCCCCAGGGACGAAGAUGACGGUACCUGGGGAGGAAGCUCCUGCUAACUACGUGCCAGCAGCCGCGGUAAUACGUAGGGGGCUAGCGUUAACCGGAAUUACUGGGCGUAAAGGGUGCGUAGGUGGUUUCUUAAGUCAGAGGUGAAAGGCUACGGCUCAACCGUAGUAAGCCUUUGAAACUGGGGAACUUGAGUGCAGGAGAGGAGAGUGGAAUUCCUAGUGUAGCGGUGAAAUGCGUAGAUAUUAGGAGGAACACCAGUUGCGAAGGCGGCUCUCUGGACUGUAACUGACACUGAGGCACGAAAGCGUGGGGAGCAAACAGGAUUAGAUACCCGGGUAGUC
This 440-nucleotide ribosomal RNA is filed under the name uncultured bacterium. RNAcentral describes it as "partial 16S ribosomal RNA". It matches the Rfam family "Bacterial small subunit ribosomal RNA", at positions 338 to 795 of the family's 1533-position model. The record is from RNAcentral.